GCACUGACAGACGACAGUGACAGCAUGGCCCAUUCCAUCGUCUGCACUGACAAUCCUGGCAGCAUCCUCUCAACUCUGACAUCCACGGAUAAACAGGAUCCCUUUGCAUUGCUUCGGGAAGUCUCAGGGAAUUGUGGGCGCUUGCAGGAACAUAUUGGUCAAAUGGACGAGGAAACCCAAACGGUCACAAGCCGCUAUCAGCAGAUGGAGGAUCUGAUAGAAGAAAUCAGAGGUUGCUGUGAAAACAUUGAGAAGUCCAGGGAAAAGCUGCAGCAAUGCAUGGGAAUCCCAGAGCCAGGAGCCUUGUGGCUGCGUCAAAGGAACACCGAGCAGCAGAAGGAAACGUCACCCCAGGUGGAAAAGGCCCAGCAGCAGGACAGGAUGGAGGUUUCCCAGGAGCAAGAGUCAUCGAGCAGGGCUCUGGAGCAGCUGCACCAGCAAUCCUCUGGCCAAGGGCAACCACUGGCCCAGGUGCACAGAGAGAAGGAGCUGCUGGGCCAGGAGAAGGCUGCCCUUAAGGGACGACUGACAGCUAUGGAGCAGCAGCGACAAGAGCUAGCAAGCAGAUGGCAGAGACCAGGUCAGCAAAGGAGAGCCUGGAAUCCAGCCUGUCUGCUGCUCAGCAGCAGAUAUCUCAGCUGGAGAUGA
RNAcentral lists this long non-coding RNA (648 nucleotides) under Cyanistes caeruleus (blue tit). Its description in RNAcentral is "lncRNA (ENSCCEG00000014270.1)". Lineage: Eukaryota; Metazoa; Chordata; Aves; Passeriformes; Paridae. The record is from RNAcentral.